This is a long non-coding RNA of Vespula pensylvanica (western yellowjacket), 548 nucleotides long. RefSeq lists it as uncharacterized. The transcript is spliced from 2 exons. Lineage: Eukaryota; Metazoa; Arthropoda; Insecta; Hymenoptera; Vespidae. The record is from RefSeq and is a predicted model, not a curated record.
UCUCGAAUUUUCCAUCAUAAUUGCAGAUAAAUUAAUUUUUCUUUAUACGUAUAGUACGUAUCUUGUUUUUUAAGCAAUAUUCAACUUAAUAAUUUAUAUUUAUUAAUUGUCUUUAGUCGUCAUAUUUGAAUUUUGUUAUUUUUGUAUGCAUAUUUCUAAUAAUUUUUUUUCAGCCUUCAUCUCUGUCAAUAGGCGGAAAGUGAUGAUAUAUUUUUCUUUUAAUAUAACACGCGUGUCAUUUAAUGACUGCAAAUAUCUGGGGUUCCAUUUAGCAAGUUGUGACAGAAAAUUGUUAGAAAACAAUAUUCUUGAUAGUUGCAACUGUAAUGCGCAUGUUAUUUUUCGUGUAUGAUGCAACGAAUGGCUUAUACCGUACGUUUCAAGAGAAAGGUAUACGUUUCAAUGAUGAUAGUUGAAAAAAGAUAGUUUCAAAAGAUUUGAAUGCGAUGUUACAUUACUACCUCAAAUAUACGUGGAAUCAGAAGGUAAAACAAACAUGUUCACGCGAUUGGCGUUGUGAAGGAGAAAGUGCGUUGCGUUACCAUAUU